UACGUAGGGUGCAAGCGUUGUCCGGAAUUAUUGGGCGUAAAGAGCUCGUAGGCGGUUUGUCGCGUCGAAUGUGAAAACCCGGGGCUCAACUCCGGGCCUGCAUUCGAUACGGGCAGACUAGAGUUCGGUAGGGGAGUCUGGAAUUCCUGGUGUAGCGGUGAAAUGCGCAGAUAUCAGGAGGAACACCGAUGGCGAAGGCAGGUCUCUGGGCCGAUACUGACGCUGAGGAGCGAAAGCGUGGGGAGCGAACAGG
RNAcentral lists this ribosomal RNA (253 nucleotides) under uncultured bacterium. RNAcentral describes it as "partial 16S ribosomal RNA". It matches the Rfam family "Bacterial small subunit ribosomal RNA", at positions 524 to 776 of the family's 1533-position model. The record is from RNAcentral.